This 598-nucleotide non-coding RNA is filed under the name Prochlorococcus marinus subsp. pastoris str. CCMP1986. The record is from RNAcentral. Lineage: Bacteria; Bacillati; Cyanobacteriota; Cyanophyceae; Synechococcales; Prochlorococcaceae.
CAUGACCAGUUAAACCAUAUGGAUCUGAAAUCCAAAUGCCGACAUUCGCGCAAUGAAAAGCUCCAAAUCCAAAGCAAGUAAUACCUGAUAAGAGAAGAUGAAUCCCAAAUAUCCUUGGGAGAUCAAGAGCAGGUUCUCCAGUUCUUUCAUCUUCCCAUAGAUCUAAAUCCCAAUAUGUCCAAUGCCAGAUUGAAGCAAGCAUUAAAAGUCCACUAAAAACAAUGUGAGCGGCUGCAACACCUUCGAAGCUCCAGAAUCCUGGAUCAACCCCUGUAGCACCAGUUAUAUCCCAUCCGUUCCAACUACUUGUGAUCCCUAAUCUCGCCAUGAAUGGCAUGACAUACAUUCCCUGUCUCCACAUUGGAUUGAGAACAGCGUCUGAAGGAUCAAAAAUGGCUAAUUCAUAUAAAGCCAUAGAACCGGCCCAGCCGGCUAAUAAUGCAGUAUGCAUGAGAUGCACAGCAAGUAGUCGACCGGGGUCGUUGAUAACUACUGUGUGAACUCUAUACCAAGGCAAUCCCAUCGGUUAAAUUCUUGUGACAAUGCUGAAUGAACAGCUAAACAUCAUGAUAGUAAGGGUUUUUUGGGCGUUGAGAGA